GGGGGUUUUCCCCAUCUCCUUCAUAAAUAUAAAAGUGUGUUCUUGAUCAGAUUCCCUUAAUCUACCCCUUUCUUAGUCUCUAAUCUCUUAAUCUCUCUAAGUCUCUUUGUUUCUGAUUCAAGUUCAUACGAGUUUCAUCAGACCUCUUAUUCAACUAGUUCAAGACCUUAUCCUUUGCCUCUAAUGGCUUCUCAUACACAUACACAGCCAGAGCUCUCAAAUCUCAUAUGGUAUCAGAGCCAUGUUCAUCAGAACCUGAGCUGAAGCUUCCGCAAACACACUGCUCUCUCCUCAGCUCAAAUCCAAACCAUUGAAGCUCUCUCCAUCCGGUUCAGCUCCUUAUGAAGGAGAAGACUGAAGCUUGGCGAGUUCUCAUGGUUCCUCAUCCUGUUCUCUUCCUGUCCUGAUGGUGAUUCUCCUUGGAAGCAGAGGUGUAUGGACAAGGCCUAGCUAUCCUUGUACCAAGGCGCCUUGUCCAAGAGAAGAACACAUCCGGUUCCAAAGAAGAUGGUGUCAAGAGCUUGGCGCCUAAAGGAGAUGAAGAAAGGAGGGGUCUUUGAAGCUGAUGGUACAAGAUGGAGGCCAUGAAUAGAAGGUGAAAGAGGUGGGUGACGAUCCACACUCUCAAGACCAACAAAGCAUGGUCGGUUUCAUGAAAGGUUAAGGAACCAACCUGGUUCCUUGUGUAAGCGAUUCUUUAAAACCUUCUUGAUAUUGAGCUUGUGGUGUUACUGUGCCUGGCUAGUGUGAUGUGUAUUGAUUGAAAAACCCUGAGGAUAAUGUGUGAUUGCUAAAUAUAAUUAGUUGAAUCUGUCCCAGGAUGCUUUAAAGGCUUGUUUAGUGUUUAAAGAGUAAAAUGCUUGCUCCUGUUAAGUAAUGAGUUUGCUAAAUGUGAAAUGAUAUUGUUUGAAGCUCAUGAACUGAAAACAGAUUGAAAGUAAUGCAUUGUCUGAUGUUAAGUGAUGAUAGUAAUGCUUAGCCUAAGUUAUAAAUGAAUGUGUGAUGAAUUGUAUUGUUGCAUUCAUGAAUUAAAACUGAUUAAGGUUAGUGCAUACUGUCAAAUGGCUGUCUUACAUUGAAGCAUUAGAUUCAUGUCUAAAUGCUGAGUAAAGAAGCUUUAAAAAUUGCCUAAGUAGCUUGUAUUGAAUCUGUUAGGAUCAUGCUAGUGCUUAGAGAGUUUGCUUGCAAAGAUUAGAACUUGAAAAUGUCUAGUUUAAUCUGUUGCAUUGCUUAAAGACAUUGGUGUUCAAACUUGAUGAUGCAUCAAGGGUUGACCCAAUGCACUUGUGUCUUAUCUUUGCUGGAGUUUGAGUGAUGUUUCAGGUUCACAAGAGGUGUUCUUGGUUCACCAUCCAUCCGAGUUGAAAGAGGAAGACUUUGCCCAUUGUGUGGAGCAAUGGAGAGUUGAGAAAGAAGUGGUGAUGCGCCACUGGUGUGAAGUGUCACUGAAGCUCACUUGCAAGCUUGGACCUAUACUCAAUCCAAGCUUGAGGAGGGGAGUUUAGUGAGCUUCCAAGCGAUCCAAGAAGUCCAUUCCAAGCAUCUGAAGAAGGAGCCAUCCGGGCUUAGGCUGUGGCGAGUCUAUUCAAGAGAGUACUCAAACUAAGACAGAGUAUUCUUGGCUGUGAGAAGAUGAAGGCAACUCUAUCAAGGCCGCUUCUAGUGUGAAGUGAUUGGAGAGAUAGCUGAAGCUUCCACAAGCAUUCCAUGAAGAUGGCAAGAUCAGAAGAGGAGCGGCAAUGGUGUGUGUGUGAGGAUCAUGAAGCAAUCCAUUCAAGCUUGUUCCUGUGAGAGUCUCAAGCUUGAGGGGGAGUGUUGAAGCUUACAUGAUCCAAGAGAGCUUGGUGGUUACUCUAGAAGAAGAAGAAGCAGCCAAGACUCAGUAAGAAGAAGUUGUAUCUCCAAGAAGAAGCUGAUCUGGUGUGUCCGAGCACUUCAACCUAACAAGAGGUUAGGUGAAAGGGGGAGAGACCAAGAUUAGGCAGUAAGGAGAGUACAAGGCGUGGGGUGAUUGUAGAGGCCAUGAUCCAGAGUCUUUGUGUCCCUUACAUUGUUGGUAAGGCACAAAGACUCACUGGCCAAUCCCUAGGCCUUGGAGACUUUACUCUUUUUCCCUCAUCAAGGUUUUGUCCCAAAGGGUUUUCCUUGGUGAGGUUUUUAAUGAGGAAGUUCUUCAGGGUUCCAAGCUUGACUUAGGAUCAACUAAAGUCAAGCUUGAGGGGGAGUGUUGAACUGAAGAGAAGAAUGGAGCUUGUGCAUAAAUAGGGGCAAGCUCUUGAAGAUCUUAAGAAGAGUUCUAUGAAGCUUCAGAAGUGAUGAGAAGCUGAUAUAAGGUUGGGAUAAAGGCUAAGAAGAGUUCAGAUAGAAGUGGAGUAGUCUUUGGAUGAGUUAAGGAGAGAAAGGUAGAUGGUGCAAAGAUAGGGACAGCCAUGUACGGCCAUGUACGGAUGGUACGGCCCGGGAAGGACAUGGCUGAUCCAAAAGAGUUUCUAUCAAGUCUUGGGAUGUUUUGGAGUUGUGCAAAGAUAGGGCGCGAUGUGAGAGAAGCAACCCUAAUCCGUACACUCAGCUGAUGAAGACUUGUGAUGCAAGGCAUGAAGAAGGCUUAGGGCAAGAGAGCAAAGAUCCUAAAGGCAUAUGCUGUCCGAGAUGCUUUAGGAAGUAACCAGGAAGGUGCUGAGCUCUCUUGACCGUUUAUGGAUAAGAAACCUUAUCCAUACAGCUUGUUCAAAUUCAAAUAAGCAAGCUGGCAUGAGCUGUAAAGUAAAGGCAAAGAAGAAGUCAUGUAUCUGGCCAAAGGAGAGGGAAGAUACAUGGAGCUUUAAGAAAAGCAAUCAGGCGCCAGCAAGCAAGAACCAAUCACCAUUCAGCCUUCCUUGACCAGAUCCAAAGCUACAUCCAAGCCAUUCAUUUCCCAAAGUCAUUUAGAGCCAUCAGAUUUAGGUUUAUGAGUUUCAGAGUGUGAAAACAUAUAUAAACUGAUGUAUGGACGUUUUGUAAGCUCUAAGAGAGUAUGGGGGUUUUCCCCAUCUCCUUCAUAAAUAUAAAAGUGUGUUCUUGAUCAGAUUCCCUUAAUCUACCCCUUUCUUAGUCUCUAAUCUCUUAAUCUCUCUAAGUCUCUUUGUUUCUGAUUCAUGUUCAUACUAGUUUCAUCAGACCUCUUAUUCAACUAGUUCAAGACCUUAUCCUUUGCCUCUAAUGGCUUCUCAUACACAUACACAGCCAGAGCUCUCAAAUCUCAUAUCAGGUACCAUUGCUUGAGCCUCACUAAAGAUGUUCCGGG
Molecule: long non-coding RNA, 3283 nt
Filed under: Brassica rapa (field mustard)
Lineage: Eukaryota; Viridiplantae; Streptophyta; Magnoliopsida; Brassicales; Brassicaceae
Description: long non-coding RNA (BRAP_LNC008176)
Source: RNAcentral